Sphaerobolus stellatus SS14 is the source of this 74-nucleotide non-coding RNA. NCBI's taxonomy places the organism in Eukaryota, Fungi, Basidiomycota, Agaricomycetes, Geastrales, Sphaerobolaceae. The record is from the annotation of a GenBank genome assembly.
UGUCUAUUAGCUCAGUUGAUUAGAGCGUGGUGUUAAUAAUACCAAGGUCUCAGGUUGGACCCCUGUAUGGGCUA